AUGCCCUCCGAUGGCAAGACAAGUCAUUCCCAUACUAUAAUGAUCUAUUUGCUCUAUAUGAUGGGUGCUACGCUCAAGGAAGGAGUUGUCGUAGCAUGGAUUAUUAUGCAAACAAGGCCACACAACCCUCUCAUAUCACGACAUCAUAUUCGCAGCAGUUGGAAGGUCUGGAGGAGCAUUUUCGCUCACCUACACCAAACCUACCUGCUCCUGGGGAAUCGUGCAUGCCUAUUGAUACUGAAGAGGACAAUGGAAGCACUAAUUGGUUUUGCACUGAUGAUCCAUUAG
This 288-nucleotide ribosomal RNA is filed under the name Triticum aestivum (bread wheat). RNAcentral's name for it is "partial small subunit ribosomal RNA". The record is from RNAcentral. Lineage: Eukaryota; Viridiplantae; Streptophyta; Magnoliopsida; Poales; Poaceae.